RNAcentral lists this ribosomal RNA (524 nucleotides) under uncultured bacterium. RNAcentral's name for it is "partial 16S ribosomal RNA". It matches the Rfam family "Bacterial small subunit ribosomal RNA", at positions 28 to 523 of the family's 1533-position model. The record is from RNAcentral.
GACGAACGCUGGCGGCGUGCCUAAUACAUGCAAGUCGAACGAAGCUUUUUUAACUGGUGCUUGCACCGACUUAAACAACUGAGUGGCGAACGGGUGAGUAACACGUGGGUAACCUGCCCCAAAGCGGGGGACAACAUUUGGAAACAGAUGCUAAUACCGCAUAACCACAGAGACCACAUGGUUUCUGUGUCAAAGAUGGUUUCGGCUAUCACUUUGGGAUGGACCCGCGGCGUAUUAGCUAGUUAGUAAGGUAAUGGCUUACCAAGGCAAUGAUACGUAGCCGAACUGAGAGGUUGAUCGGCCACAUUGGGACUGAGACACGGCCCAAACUCCUACGGGAGGCAGCAGUAGGGAAUCUUCCACAAUGGACGAAAGUCUGAUGGAGCAACGCCGCGUGAGUGAAGAAGGUUUUCGGAUCGUAAAACUCUGUUGUCAGAGAAGAACGUGUGCGAGAGUAACUGUUCGUGCAGUGACGGUAUCUGGCCAGAAAGCCACGGCUAACUACGUGCCAGCCGCCGCAGUAA